GACGAACGCUGGCGGCGUGCUUAACACAUGCAAGUCGAACGGUGAACGAGGGAGCUUGCUCCCUCCGGAUCAGUGGCGAACGGGUGAGUAACACGUGAGCAAUCUGCCCCGAACUCUGGGAUAAGCGUUGGAAACGACGUCUAAUACCGGAUACGACGCGGGAGGGCAUCCUCUCCGCGUGGAAAGAACUUCGGUUCGGGAUGAGCUCGCGGCCUAUCAGCUUGCUGGUGAGGUAACGGCUCACCAAGGCGACGACGGGUAGCCGGCCUGAGAGGGUGACCGGCCACACUGGGACUGAGACACGGCCCUGACUCCUACGGGAGGCAGCAGUGGGGAAUAUUGCACAAUGGGCGCAAGCCUGAUGCAGCAACGCCGCGUGAGGGACGACGGCCUUCGGGUUGUAAACCUCUUUUAGCAGGGAAGAAGCGAAAGUGACGGUACCUGCAGAAAAAGCACCGGCUAACUACGUG
RNAcentral lists this ribosomal RNA (470 nucleotides) under uncultured bacterium. Its description in RNAcentral is "partial 16S ribosomal RNA". It matches the Rfam family "Bacterial small subunit ribosomal RNA", at positions 28 to 507 of the family's 1533-position model. The record is from RNAcentral.